This 225-nucleotide ribosomal RNA is filed under the name uncultured Pseudomonas sp. RNAcentral's name for it is "partial 16S ribosomal RNA". It matches the Rfam family "Bacterial small subunit ribosomal RNA", at positions 1157 to 1382 of the family's 1533-position model. The record is from RNAcentral. Lineage: Bacteria; Pseudomonadati; Pseudomonadota; Gammaproteobacteria; Pseudomonadales; Pseudomonadaceae.
GACAAACCGGAGGAAGGUGGGGAUGACGUCAAGUCAUCAUGGCCUUACGGCCUGGGCUACACACGUGCUACAAUGGUCGGUACAAAGGGUUGCCAAGCCGCGAGGUGGAGCUAAUCCCAUAAAACCGAUCGUAGUCCGGAUCGCAGUCUGCAACUCGACUGCGUGAAGUCGGAAUCGCUAGUAAUCGUGAAUCAGAAUGUCACGGUGAAUACGUUCCCGGGCCUU